UACAGAGGGUGCGAGCGUUGUCCGGAAUCACUGGGCGUAAAGGGCGCGUAGGUGGCGCGACAAGUCAGUGGUGAAAGUUCGACGCUCAACGUCGAAUCGGCCACUGAUACUGUUGGGCUUGAGCACUGUAGAGGCUAAUGGAAUUCCGGGUGUAGCGGUGGAAUGCGUAGAGAUCCGGAAGAACACCGGUGGCGAAGGCGGCCUGCUGGGCUAUGGCUGACACUGAGGCGCGACAGCGUGGGGAGCAAACAGGG
RNAcentral lists this ribosomal RNA (254 nucleotides) under uncultured bacterium. RNAcentral's name for it is "partial 16S ribosomal RNA". It matches the Rfam family "Bacterial small subunit ribosomal RNA", at positions 524 to 777 of the family's 1533-position model. The record is from RNAcentral.